RNAcentral lists this unclassified non-coding RNA (387 nucleotides) under soil metagenome. RNAcentral describes it as "partial contains 5.8S ribosomal RNA, internal transcribed spacer 2, and large subunit ribosomal RNA". The stretch from base 1 to 120 matches the Rfam family "5.8S ribosomal RNA", at positions 35 to 154 of the family's 154-position model. The record is from RNAcentral.
GAUGAAGAACGCAGCGAAAUGCGAUAAGUAAUGUGAAUUGCAGAAUUCAGUGAAUCAUCGAAUCUUUGAACGCACCUUGCGCUCCUUGGUAUUCCGAGGAGCAUGCCUGUUUGAGUGUCAUGAAAUUCUCAACCUUUUCAGCUUUCUUUGUUGAUCAGGCUUGGAUGUGGGAGUAUGCGGGCUUCUCAGAAGUCGGCUCUCCUGAAAUGCAUUAGCGGGACCUUUGUUGUCUGGCUUUGGUGUGAUAAUUAUCUACGCCAUUGUAGUCAAGCAGCUUAAAAUGAGGUUUCAGCUUCUAACCGUCUCCCCUGAGACAACUUUUUGACAAUUUGACCUCAAAUCAGGUAGGACUACCCGCUGAACUUAAGCAUAUCAAUAAGCGGAGGA